Molecule: transfer RNA, 72 nt
Filed under: Caerostris darwini
Lineage: Eukaryota; Metazoa; Arthropoda; Arachnida; Araneae; Araneidae
Description: tRNA-Glu
Rfam family: tRNA
About the family: Transfer RNA (tRNA) molecules are approximately 80 nucleotides in length. Their secondary structure includes four short double-helical elements and three loops (D, anti-codon, and T loops). Further hydrogen bonds mediate the characteristic L-shaped molecular structure. tRNAs have two regions of fundamental functional importance: the anti-codon, which is responsible for specific mRNA codon recognition, and the 3' end, to which the tRNAs corresponding amino acid is attached (by aminoacyl-tRNA synthetases). tRNAs cope with the degeneracy of the genetic code in two manners: having more than one tRNA (with a specific anti-codon) for a particular amino acid; and 'wobble' base-pairing, i.e. permitting non-standard base-pairing at the 3rd anti-codon position.
Source: RNAcentral
GGUUCCAUGGUGUAAAGGUUAGCACUCUGGACUUUCAAUCCAGCGAUCCAAAUUCAAAUCUCGGUGGAGCCC